RNAcentral lists this ribosomal RNA (472 nucleotides) under uncultured organism. RNAcentral describes it as "partial 16S ribosomal RNA". It matches the Rfam family "Bacterial small subunit ribosomal RNA", at positions 332 to 797 of the family's 1533-position model. The record is from RNAcentral.
UACACUCCUACGGGAGGCAGCAGUAGGGAAUCUUCCACAAUGGGUGCAAACCUGAUGGAGCAAUGCCGCGUGAGUGAAGAAGGUCUUCGGAUCGUAAAGCUCUGUUGUUAGAGAAGAACACGUGCUAGGUAACUACUAGCGCCUUGACGGUAUCUAACCAGAAAGUCACGGCUAACUACGUGCCAGCAGCCGCGGUAAUACGUAGGUGACAAGCGUUGUCCGGAUUUAUUGGGCGUAAAGGGAGCGCAGGCGGUCUGUUUAGUCUAAUGUGAAAGCCCACGGCUUAACCGUGGAACGGCAUUGGAAACUGACAGACUUGAAUGUAGUAGAGGAAAAUGGAAUUCCAAGUGUAGCGGUGGAAUGCGUAGAUAUUUGGAGGAACACCAGUGGCGAAGGCGAUUUUCUGGUCUAACAUUGACGCUGAGGCUCGAAAGCGUGGGGAGCGAACAGGAUUAGAAACCCCUGUAGUCCC